RNAcentral lists this ribosomal RNA (314 nucleotides) under uncultured bacterium. RNAcentral's name for it is "bacterial SSU rRNA". It matches the Rfam family "Bacterial small subunit ribosomal RNA", at positions 29 to 364 of the family's 1533-position model. The record is from RNAcentral.
AACGAACGCUGGCGGCAUGCCUAACACAUGCAAGUCGAACGGAUAGUCGCAAGACUACUAGUGGCGGACGGGUGCGUAACGCGUGGGAACCUGCCUUGAAGUUCGGAAUAACUGCGGGAAACUGCAGCUAAUACCGGAUGUGGCCUGCGGGCCAAAGGGGAAACUCGCUUCAAGAGGGGCCCGCGUCCGAUUAGCUAGUUGGCGGGGUAACGGCCCACCAAGGCGAUGAUCGGUAGCNGGUCUGAGAGGACGACCAGCCACACUGGAACUGAGAUACGGUCCAGACUCCUACGGGAGGCAGCAGUGGGGAAGUA